Molecule: unclassified non-coding RNA, 335 nt
Filed under: soil metagenome
Description: partial contains 5.8S ribosomal RNA, internal transcribed spacer 2, and large subunit ribosomal RNA
Rfam family: 5.8S ribosomal RNA (bases 1-120)
Source: RNAcentral
GAUGAAGAACGCAGCGAAAUGCGAUAAGUAAUGUGAAUUGCAGAAUUCCGUGAAUCAUCGAAUCUUUGAACGCACAUUGCGCCCCCUGGUAUUCCGGGGGGCAUGCCUGUCCGAGCGUCAUUGCAACCUUCAAGCGCGGCUUGUGUGUUGGGUCUCGUCCCCCGUGGACGGGCCCGAAAGGCAGUGGCGGCGUCCCGACAUGGUGCCCGAGCGUAUGGGAAUCCUCUUCCGCUCGAAUCGGCCCAUGCGGCGCUGGUCGUAACCAAAUUUUUUACCGGUUGACCUCGGAUCAGGUAGGGAUACCCGCUGAACUUAAGCAUAUCAUAAGCGGAGGA